GGACCCGCACAAGUAGUGGAGCAUGUGGUUUAAUUCGAAGAUACGCGCAGAACCUUACCAACACUUGACAUGUUCGUCGCGACUUUAAGAGAUUAAAGUUUUCGGUUCGGCCGGACGAAACACAGGUGCUGCAUGGCUGUCGUCAGCUCGUGUCGUGAGAUGUUGGUUAAGUCCCGCAACGAGCGCAACCCUCACUUUUAGUUGCCAUCAUUUAGUUGGGCACUCUGAAAGAACUGCCAGUGAUAAGCUGGAGGAAGGUGGGGAUGACGUCAAGUCCUCAUGGCCCUUACGUGUUGGGCUACACACGUGCUACAAUGGUAGGUACAGAGGGAAGCCACCCGCGAGGGGGGAGCGGA
This 356-nucleotide ribosomal RNA is filed under the name uncultured bacterium. Its description in RNAcentral is "bacterial SSU rRNA". It matches the Rfam family "Bacterial small subunit ribosomal RNA", at positions 917 to 1271 of the family's 1533-position model. The record is from RNAcentral.